Long non-coding RNA from Magnolia sinica, 1392 nucleotides. RefSeq lists it as uncharacterized. The transcript is spliced from 4 exons. The record is from RefSeq and is a predicted model, not a curated record. Lineage: Eukaryota; Viridiplantae; Streptophyta; Magnoliopsida; Magnoliales; Magnoliaceae.
AUUUCUCUGGUUGGUUUUCUGAACUGCUGGUUCUUUCCUUUGAAUUGAUAGAACAUGAGUGGAUAUCACUGUUAGAGGUUGCUAACUUGUCUAUGGGAUGUGAACCAACAAAGCAACCAGAAAGAAAUAGAUCAAGUCCUAUAUUCCUUCCAAUAAUGCUCUUGCCUCGACUUCUCAAAAUGCUGCUUUAUGUCCUAGAUAAAAAUUCAAGCUAUCAUCAAAAUUUGAGUUUGUGAGCGGUUCUUUCUACUUUGCUGUCAUCUGUUCUUUUGAUAUCCGAAACUGUGAUUGAGGAUCGUUUUGGAGUACAACAUGGGAGUGAUGGGUGGUAUGAUGCAUUAGAAAGGCACUUCACAAUCCAAGCCAUGCAGAAGUUUCCUGCUGCGCCCCAAAUGCAAAAACAAUCGUGUCUCAUGAUCCGGAAUCUUGUUGUCAGGAACUCAAAGAACAGAACUAUUUUGCUUGGUAAUGGUACUGAGAAGAUCAUAAGGAAGGCCAAGCAAAACCAUGAUAACUGCAAGGAGCUGCUGCUGCUGCAUUGAGGGAUCUAGGGCUUGACGACUACAACUCAUAGCCGUGGCUUUUACCAUUUCCUUUCUGGUAUGGUUCUUGUUUUUUUCUCUUGGUUGUUCUGGAAGGUUGCUUUGGUUGAAAAAUGGAAACAAUUCACUUGAGUUCUUUACCGAGUAUGAUUCUUGCAUGGAAACUAUGUCAAAGUCCGUGAUGGAAAAGUGAUGGUGAAUGGAGUAAUCCAAGACUAAGAUUUCAUUUUAGAGCCACUUGAAUAUGAAAUGGAUCCUGUGGUACAAAUCAUGAUGGGCCAUAUAGAAGAUGUUGAGUAUCUUCUUAUAAAAAGCCUCUCUGUAAGUUUACAUUGUAUACUGUGAUUCUAUAGGUUCAACUUUAGGCACCAGCCAUUCCUGUUUUUAUUUGAUAUGUGGAACUCUGACAAUUCCCUGAUCGAUGGUAUCUCAUUUACAUGGUGGAAUUGUUUGUUUGAGAAAAAAAAAAUGAAAUGCUUGGCCUGAACUAGUGACAUUUUCACUAGGUCCAGCAUUCCCCGAUGGUGUUUGUCCUUUCUUUGAUUCUUUAAAAAAAAAAUUGUGGGACUAAUCUGAACCAGUCCUGUUUGAGUUGUUCUGGCUACCAGAAUUUGCCCAUCUCCUAUUUGGUGGCUGGACUUGAAUAGCAAUUUUCUGUUUGGACUCCACACUCAUCUUUGUUUGGCGUCUUCUUCUUAUGAGGGUCUGUAGUUCAUCCUUUUAUGGCUAGUGUUUUUUCACGUUGUAAAAUUUCUAAUUUCUUACCAUUCCCAAUGCUUACCUUGAUUUUAUAAUGCACUACAUGUUUGGAUGGAAUUUAUUAUACUGCUUCAGGUUUGUGACAUCCAUA